GAUGAACGCUGGCGGCGUGCCUAAUACAUGCAAGUCGAGCGAACAGACGAGGAGCUUGCUCCUCUGACGUUAGCGGCGGACGGGUGAGUAACACGUGGAUAACCUACCUAUAAGACUGGGAUAACUUCGGGAAACCGGAGCUAAUACCGGAUAAUAUAUUGAACCGCAUGGUUCAAUAGUGAAAGACGGUUUUGCUGUCACUUAUAGAUGGAUCCGCGCCGCAUUAGCUAGUUGGUAAGGUAACAGCUUACCAAGGCGACGAUGCGUAGCCGACCUGAGAGGGUGAUCGGCCACACUGGAACUGAGACACGGUCCAGACUCCUACGGGAGGCAGCAGUAGGGAAUCUUCCGCAAUGGGCGAAAACCUGACGGAACAACGCCGCGUGAGUGAUGAAGGUCUUCGGAUCGUAAAACUCUGUUAUUAGGGAAGAACAAAUGUGUAAGUAACUAUGCACGUCUUGACGGUACCUAAUCAGAAAGCCACGGCUAACUACGUG
RNAcentral lists this ribosomal RNA (497 nucleotides) under uncultured bacterium. RNAcentral describes it as "partial 16S ribosomal RNA". It matches the Rfam family "Bacterial small subunit ribosomal RNA", at positions 28 to 507 of the family's 1533-position model. The record is from RNAcentral.